UUCAUGAGUUGAUCCAAGACUUGACGUUGGCCUACGUAUUUCAUCAAGUCAAUGGAGUUCAACCUGUCGAGAAGCCCCUGAAACCAACCAGAGAGGAGAGAGCCAGCAGCAGCUACCGCAAAUUCCAUAGCAAAGAAUGAGUUGUAAGAGAAGAAAGAAGCUACGAACUCUGAAGAAAUUUGGAUGAAGAAAUUUGUAAACAACUGAAAAUGAAUUAGAUAUUGCAAUUGAAUGAAGGCUGCAGAGCUCAACAGACAUGGAUCACUGGUAUGCGAAUGACCUGAGAAAUAAGGAGAGAAAAAUGGUACAAUAAUUGGGUUAUGGUGGGUCCCAAUUAUUAUGUAUAAUGAAUUUUUAUAAAACAGGUUUUUUCACCCCAAUCAAGAUUCAUGAGUAGUCCACUUCAUUUAGCAUGCUUUACACUUUAUUUUUGGUCUGUUUUGCUCCAUUCUCUUUUUGAUUUUGAAAGAUUUGGUGGAUGGAGAAGUGUAAAGUUCCUCUCUUAUCAAAGUUGCCAAUGG
RNAcentral lists this long non-coding RNA (521 nucleotides) under Manihot esculenta (cassava). RNAcentral's name for it is "long non-coding RNA (MESC_LNC006181)". Lineage: Eukaryota; Viridiplantae; Streptophyta; Magnoliopsida; Malpighiales; Euphorbiaceae. The record is from RNAcentral.